RNAcentral lists this ribosomal RNA (373 nucleotides) under uncultured organism. RNAcentral describes it as "partial 16S ribosomal RNA". It matches the Rfam family "Bacterial small subunit ribosomal RNA", at positions 527 to 896 of the family's 1533-position model. The record is from RNAcentral.
GUAGGAGGCGAGCGUUAUCCGGAUUUACUGGGCGUAAAGCGCGUGCAGGCGGUUUUCUAAGUCGGACGUGAAAGCUCCCGGCUCAACUGGGAGAGGUCGUUCGAAACUAGAAAACUUGAGGGUGGUAGAGGAGAGUGGAAUUCCCGGUGUAGUGGUGAAAUGCGUAGAUAUCGGGAGGAACACCAGUGGCGAAGGCGGCUCUCUGGGCCACUCCUGACGCUAAGACGCGAAAGCUAGGGGAGAGAACGGGAUUAGAAACCCCGGGUAUUCCUAGCCGUAAACGAUGCCAACUAGGUGUAGGGGGUAUCCAACCCCCCCUGUGCUGCAGCAAACGCGGUAAGUUGACCGCCUGGGGACUACGGCCGCAAGGCUA